This 165-nucleotide unclassified non-coding RNA is filed under the name uncultured Leotiomycetes. RNAcentral describes it as "sequence contains ITS1". Lineage: Eukaryota; Fungi; Ascomycota; Leotiomycetes. The record is from RNAcentral.
CAGAGUCCCUGCCCCGUAUGGGGUAGACCUCCAACCCUUUGUUUAUCAACUUUGUUGCUUUGGCAGGCCGCAAGACUUCAGGGCUUUCCAUCGGCUUUGGCUGGUGUGUGCCUGUCAAAGGACCCCAAAACUCUUAGUGUUGUCUGAGUUAAAACUAAAUUAUUA